Long non-coding RNA from Gasterosteus aculeatus aculeatus (three-spined stickleback), 1649 nucleotides. Lineage: Eukaryota; Metazoa; Chordata; Actinopteri; Perciformes; Gasterosteidae. The record is from Ensembl.
CUGGAAGCAUCAGAGGCAGAGUGUUGACUGAUGUAGACAGCUGGACAUGGCUUUUUUAAUCCGUCUAAAUAGGAUCUGCCCAAAUGCAGGCUUUUCUCCUGAACAGCAGGCCCAACACUGAGGUGGUGACAGCCAGACGACAGCAUGAGACCACAACACUCGCAGAUGACACCGCGGAUGUCUGUCUGUCUGUCUGUGGGUGUGAAAGAGAGCCCUAUGCGCUCGCAUCCGCGUGAGGCAGGAAAGGGAGAAAGUCAAAAACUUAAACACGCAGUCAAAAUAUCAAAAGUUUUCCAAACAAAAUGCCAGAUGAACUCUGUACUUUUGUCUUCAGAUUUCCAUCGAAAGCCGGUCAUCAGCUGUGAGGAGUGUUGUGCGUUCAGCACGGGGCGAGUCUGGUGCAAACAUCCUCCUCUGUCUUCAGCACCCGUUUACAAUCAGACGCAUUAAUAGUGAAGUAUGCCAGUGAGCUACGUUGUCCACGAGGACUCAGCAGUCGUCACCACCCAGUGAUGUGCAGUGAGGAGCGUUUGAACUGACAAGACUCCCAAAUCAAAGCGUGAUCAUGCGCAGCACGACAACGCAAAGGAACCCGCUGAAUGAAAUCAGACUGUUCGGUUCUCCAGUCUCAGGUGUGGUUUCACAUCGCUUUAACCUCACCCGGCGCCCCAGCUAUCUCAUUUCGACAGACGUUUGGGACGAGAAGCUCAUCAACUUUUACUGUGACAUCUGCCAGAGAAGAAAGUGUGGAAACAGACAGAAAAAAAUGUUCAGCUGCUCCUCCUCCCAGGCCUUUUGUCUCUGUCAGAACUUCAUUGAUUUUUCUGCUGAAUUUAUAGACAGCUUGUAAUAUCGUUAGGAGGCGGAGCUCACAGCGUUUUGGGUUUGCGUGUUGAUGUGUGUGUGUGUGUAUAUUGACAGAUGGUUGUCAUUGUAUGAGAGCUAGUUUGCACAUUCAUGUAAUGGAGGCAGAGAAACGCAGCAAACAUAUGUAGUGGACAGCAGGGACUCGUUGACUGGAACUAAAGGAUGCACGUUCAUAACACACGCCAAACACACUUUGACUGCAUCCAUUACAUACGUGCUGUAUAGUAAAGUAUGUGCAGCAUGUCAGUGUUGUCGUUUGGGGCUCUCAUGCGUAAAUCUGCGUUACCUUUUCACUGUACGCAUUUUGUAUGAAAUGAAAUAUUUAUGUAAUUAAUGAUCACCGUGUCAACACAGGACCUAACGGACCUUGAGAGAGGGUUAGAGUCCAACAAAGAUUGGCAUCGCAAAGAGACACAUUAAUGAGUAAACGUCUGAAGGCAACUGAAAGUGUUGACCAAAGAACUGACACAGACAUGACAUCAUAAGAGUUGGAGAGACUCAUGCGAGACCAACUCACUCUUUAUCACUCUUUAUGUGUAUUUGUCACUGUGUGUGUGUGUGUGUGUCUGUGUGUGAAGACCGUGGCCCCUCUGCUGGCCCCGCCUCUCCAUGCGCAGCCGCCUAACCGUUCCUGACAGCCAGUGGCUCAUUAGAGCUGCUGUUCAAUGUUCCUACCUCCAUCCACUCGCUCCCUGUUUCCUGGACCCAGCCCCCCAAACAAUAUGUGUGUGUGUGUGUGUGUCAGCUGGCUGCACCCAGGCCAGAGAGCCGGGACAGGCGGG